CCAGCCAAUCUGACCUAUUGAUUGGCAAGGAAAAAAACGUGUCAGAUCCCAGAGGUUGCGAUCGGCUAAGGUUCCGAUCUCGAGAGAGCUUAUCAGCGAAUCGGCCGAUUUGCUAUAAUAAAGAAAUCGGCUAUAAUACAGCCGAUUACCAGGCAACGUUGAUAAAGAAAACUGCUAGAGUAAACUAAACAACGCUACAGUAGCAACACUAGGAACAGGUCUUAAUCGGCUAUGUGGAAAGUGGCAGGUUAAGCGAUAAAAUAUAAGUAAGCCGAAAGCCCUAAUUCCAAGCUGGAUAACUGGUGAUAAAACUAGAACAACAAGUAAAACCUAAAAUCCUAGUGAAUAUUGAUAACUGAUGAAUAAAUCUAAAUGAAACGACAGCGAUACGCCCGAAGUUAAAGCUUAGAUAUUACUCGAUAAACGGAACUUACAGAAUCGGUCGGAGAUCAAGUUGAUGCAGCCCCGCCAACCCGUACGGACUCGUGAAAAGAAGAAAAGUAUUGGCGAAGUCGCCUGCUUGAAAGUAAAGUGCGAGGAAAUAGUAGGUUGUUGUAUUGAUUUGAUGAUGAUUACAGAUCUAUGAAGGCGGCUAUUUAUAGCCUGUUACAACCAAUCUCUUAACCGACUAGGAUUCUAUCUCUAAUUUUAAAUGAAAAUGAAUAUUUACAAGUGUGAUUCGUAUCGGAGUUGAUUGCUGUGUUCCUAUGGGCCGACCCCUUUUAUCUUCGUAAUCCAUUUUGAGCCCAUAUUGUCCCAACUACUCCAGCCUAUCGAUCGGUCGAUUUCUAUCAACUCCCUUCGCCGAAACAUUGCAGCACCAAUCGGCCGAUCUCUAACUGUAGCACCAAUCGGCCGAUUCCCAAUCGUGACCUCCGUGCCUCGCCGCAUCAGCUGAUUCUCACCCUUCUUGACGCCGAUUUCAUACGUGUCAAAAUCUGGCGUCAACAAAUAUUCAUUAAAAUGUGGCCAUUUGUGGUUUAGUUAUAUUUUAUCAUUUGUGAGCAAUCCAUUUGAACUUCAGUAAGAUUAUAAUGUGCCUAAUAAGUGUUGUGUAUGGUCCACAUCAUGCCUUUGUAUCACAAAGUGGUUAGCAAAUUCAAAAAGUAGUGUUGUAUAAGCAGUCUAUAAACAAAAAAAAAUAGAGUAUCAUGUCUACUCCUCAUGUUCUUGUAGUUGAUGACUCUUCUGUUGAUCAUCUUGUUGCAUCAAGAGUUUUAAAGAGUUGUAACAUUGAAGGUGAAAUGACAAGUAUGAACUUUCCAUUCGCAAUCAACAAUCAAUCUUUACUUUUUUUUACCGAAGUCAAUAGGGGAAACCCCUACCUAUUUUUUUAGUAUAAUUUUUUAUUCCAAACCUGUUUAAUUCGCUCCCAGGAAGUUGAACCAUGGCCUGCUGGAUACUAAUCAGCUGCUCUAACCACUAGGCUUGAGGCCCUUUCGCUUCAAUUCAUGGAUUAGUUGUAGAACUGUUAUAUAAGUAUUGCAUGUUUUGUAUGAAAGUGCAUUAAUGGAGGGGUUGCAGCUUAUAUCACCAAACUUGUCAAGGCUGCAUAUGUGCCUAGCCUUCAUAGCUACAUUUGAUGAGCUGAUGAGGGUUAUGAAUAGAGAUAGAAUUAUGGAACUAUGCUAUUAAAUUAUAUUUUCUAUAAUCUAACAAUAGUCAUUAAGAUGUGUCCAUGUAUGGUUCUGUUAUAUUUUAUCAUUUGUGUGCAAUCCAUUUGAACUUUUGUAAGAUUAUAACUUGCCUGUUAAGUAGUCCACAUGCUGCAAUUGUAUCAUAAAGUGGUUAGAACACUCAGAAAAUAGUGUAGUAGGAGCGGCCCAUAAAUAACAAAACAUAGAGUAUCAUGGUCACUCCUCAUGUUCUCGUAAUUCAUGACUCUACUGUUGACCAUCUUGUUGUAUGAAAGUCUUAAAGAUUUGUAACAUUCAAGGUGAAAUGAUUACUAUGAACUUUCCAUUUGCAAUCAACAAUUAACCUUUUCUGAUGUAUUGCUCUUCAAGAUUUAUUUUUGAAGUUUCACAUUCAUUGCAAUGGAGAGAUAACGUAAUUGGACUUAUGUUCUUAUGUAAUAUUAUUGUUAAUGUUUUUCAUAUUCCAAUCUCAAGCAACUUGAGAUAUAAUACAAGUGGUACCUUUAUUUAUAUAUUUUAUUUUUUCCAUUGAAACUACUAAGGAAAUUUGUUUCUACACUCAAAAUUCAUCCAUGAUUAACCACAUCCUUGGUGAUUAGGUGUGCUGAUGAUGCCCCUGAAAGGAUAAAAACUGAAUAUAAAAACAUCAAUACAUGGAUUAAUUAUGAAAUUAUUAUCUAAGUAUUUUGAUUUUGUAUAUGCUUAUUUUGUACGGGUUGCAGCUUAUCAUCAAACUUGUCAAAGUUGUAGAUGUGCCUAGCCUUGUUAGCUAUAUUUGAUGAGCAGGUGAGGGUGAUGAAUAAAGACAGGAUAAUGGAACUAUGUUACUAGGUUAUAUUUCCCGUCAUCUAGAAAUAGUCAUUAAGAUGUGGAUAUGUGUGGUUGUGUUUUAUUUUAUCAUUUGUGUGCAAUCUAUUUGAACUUCAUUGAGAUUAUAAUGUGCCUAGUAAGCAUUGUGUGUGGUCCACAAAAUGUUUAUUAUCUCAAAGUGGUUAUCAAACUUAGAAAGUAGUGUUGUAUUAGUGGCCCAUAAAUAUAAAAAUAGAGAGUAUCGUCGUCACUCCUCAUGUUCUAGUAGUUGAUGACUCUUCUAUUGAUCAUCUUGUUGCAUCGAGAGUCUUAAAGUGUUGUAACAUUCAAGGUGCAAUGUUUACUAUGAACUUUCCAUUGUGUUAUAUUUUAUAAUUCGUUUGCAAUCAAUUUGAACUUCUAUGAGAAUAUAAUUUGGAUAUUACGUAUUGUGUAUGGUCCACAUCAUGCCUUUUUAUUACAAAGUGGUUAGUAAACUCAAAAUGUAUUGUUGUAUGAGUGGCCCAUAAAUAAAAAAACAAAGAGAAUGAUGGCCACUCCUCAUGUUCUCGUAGUUGAUGGCUCUUCUAUUGGUCAUCUUGUUGCACGAGAGUCUUAAAGAGUUGUAACAUUCAAGGUGCAAUGUUUACUCUGAACUCCCCAUUAUGUUAUAUUUUAUUAUUUGGUUACAAUCCAUUUGACUUCUACGAGCCUAUAAUUUGUCUCUUACAUAUUGUGUGUGGCUCAUCCUGCCUUUGUAUCACAAAGUGGUUAGUAAACUCAAAAAGUAGUCUUGUAUGAGCGGCCCAUAAAUAAAAAAACAAAGAGUAUCAUGGCCACUUCUCAUGUUCUCGUAGUUGAUGACUCUUUUGUUGAUAAUUUUGUUGCAUCGAGAAUCUUGACGAGUUGUAACCAUCAAGGUGCAAUGAUUACUAUGAACUUUCCAUUUGUAAUCAUAUUCUUAUGUAAUAUUUUCAUCAAUGUUUUUUCUAUUUCAAUUAGAUGCAACUUUAGAUAUAGUAUAAAUACUAUGUCUAUUUUAAACAUUAUAUGUUUUUUCCAUUAAACUAGUAAUGAAAUUUUAUUUCUUCACUCAUAAUCAUCCAAGCUUAGUCACAUCCCUAUGGUCAUUAUGGGCAAACUGUAUGAAAAUAUUCAAUUAAUUUAUUAGUUAUAGAAUUGUUACCGAUGUAUUCAGUUUUUGUAUAUGCAUGUUUUGUAUGGAAGUACCUUGAAGGAAGAUUUGCAACUUAUAUCAUCAAACUUGUCAAAGCUGCAAAUGUGUCUAACCUUCUUAGCUACAUUUGAUGAGCUGAUGAGGGUGAUGAAUAAAAAUGGUGUAAUGGAAGUCUACUAUUAAGUUAUAUCUCAUGUGAUCUAACAAUCAUCAUUUAUAUGUGGCUAGUUGUGUUUUUCUUAUAUUUUAUCAUUUGUGUGCAAUCCAUUUGAAUUUCUAUGAGACUAUAAUAUGGCUAUUAAGUAUUAUGUGUGGUCCACAUCAUGCCUUUGUAUCACAAACUGGUUAGCAAACUUAUAAAAUGGUGUUGUAUUAGCAUUCCAUAAAUAAAAAAAUAGAGAGUAUCAUGGACACUUUUUGUAUUCUCAUAGUUGAUGAUUUUUCUAUUGAUCAUCUUGUUGCAUCGAGAGUCUUAAAGAGUUGUAACAUUCAAGGUGCAACGAUUAUUGUGAACCUUCCAUUGUCAAUGUCCAAUCAACCUUUUUUGAUGUAUUAUUGUUUUAUUUUUUUUAUUUUUAAGUUCCAAACUUGUUGCAAAAGGAGGGAAAUAUUUUAUGAAAGUUACUUAAUGGAAGGGUUGUAGCUUAUAUCACCAAUAAUAUCAGAGUUGUAGAUGUGCCUAGCCUUCGUAGCUACAUUUUAUGAGCUGAUGAGGAUGAUGAAUAAACAUGGGAUAGAACUCUAUUACAGGAUUAUAUAUAUCCUACUAUCUAACAAUCUUAUUUGGAUAUGGACAAUUGUAGGCUCCCCUACCGGUCCGUCAAAGAAAAGAUAUGGACAUAUGUGUUUCUGUUAUAUUUUAUCAUUUGUGUACAAUUCAUAUAAACUUAACAACUGUAAGAUUAUAAUGUGGAGUAUUGUGUGUGGUCAACAUCAUCUCUUUGUAUUAUAAUCUGAUCAGCUGCAAACUCAGAAAUUAGUACUGUAUUAGCAGCCCACAAAUUGUUACCCGUUAUGUUUAGUAUGGUGAAUAUAUUCUCCUGAUCCCUUGUUUAAUUUUCCACAAAUUGUGCAAAAGUUAAUAAAUAAAACUUGUAGACUCUACUAUGGGUGUGGGUUCUAUCCAAGGUUCUGAAAGUUCUAUAGAUAGCAACACAAGAAGAAAACUGGCCAAUGAACUUUUGAAAUCAUUUAAAACGUGCAAACAACACGAAGAAGUCAAUUAAGCUGGUCCAUAUGGACAGAUCAACUGCUUCUAAUAGCUUGUUGAAUCUGGUAGCAUCCACUAUAUAGUUCUAGUAGUUUCCACAUCUCAUUCACUAUCAAAGUAAGAAUUCUAGUUAAUAUGCACUAAGUAGGAGAAGAAUUCACAACAGAUGCUAGCCUUAACUCAUCAUCACAAAAAUAAACCGAAGAAAAUAAAUCAAUAUUUUGGGUUAAGCAUUAAAUGAUUUUAUUAAAAAUCAUAAAGCAUCACUACAAAGAUAGAAAAGUGGCAUGUUCGCUUCAGCUUAUUCAGCCGGCUUAUCAGCCACCAAACAGUGUUUUCCUCUCACAACAAAUCAGCCGUUUCAGCUUUUCAGCCGGCUUAUAAGCUGAAGCGAACAGGCCCAGAAUCAUAAUGUCGAUGAGUGGAAUACUGAAACUCAUAUAGUUGAAAUGCAAAUACUAGUCUAGAACAGCUUAAGAAGAUUUCCUAUGAGGAUAGACAAUGGUUAUUUCACAGCUCCCUAUCAUAAGUUGCAGGAUGUUACUAAAGUUGCCUCUAUUACAUCUAAAGAUUGUAAACACAUCCAUAUUCAAGGAAACUAAAAAUAAUAAAUGUUAAUAUAACAACUUACAGAGGUUCAAACUGUAUACACAAAGAUUGGAGUUUGUUCUUAGUAUUGUAUCGCAAGCAUACAUGAGCAUGAAGACAUGAUGAAUUGAUUACAUGAGGAUCAACAUUUCCUAAGAGUGCCUCAACUUUGACUGGGACCUUGAGCUGGAGAUGAAAUACUUGUACCUGACCAAGGUAUUGGUAGACUGAUCUUCACCAAGAUCUUGCCCUACAAUGCAAAUGUUAGUAUGGUCAUUAUUUGAAAAACAUCAUAUAACAACGAAAUAAGAAAGUUAUGCAAACAACCCUUAUACCAUUGUAUACAUCUUUUUCCUUAAAUAACCAAUCUUUCCUACACACAAAGGCUUCUAACAUCUCCAGAGUUAGUGAACUUUUUGACUUCCCAAGAAUCCUACCUCCAAGACUAAAGGUGGAUUCGGAAGACACAGUGCUAAGAGGAAUGGCGAGAAAAUCAUGUGUCAUGGUUGAUAAGAUUAGGAACUUCUCAGCAUGUGCCUUCCACCAUGCCAAAAUGUGAAAGUUUUCAUAUCCUCCACAUAAUCUUCUUCAAAGUACAUGUCAAAUUUAGACUUUGGUACCCGAGUCUUUCUCCAACUUGACUUGAAAUUUGCAAAUUCUUGUCCUAUCUACUAUUUCACAAGCAUCAUUGAGCCCACAACACUAAUGCCCUCACUUGAAUAUGUCAUAGAUUAUGCACCACCUCUCCUCACACAUUGCUCAUACUCCAUAAAGUAUUUCUUCAUCCAACCUAGAGCAACAUUGACACUUGUAUGAAUCCGAUCUAUAUUCAUACAAAUCUUUUGAUAGAAGAACUCCAACUAUUAUGCUCCCCUCGGAUCUAACAUUAUGUCAAUAACAAUUCCAAAGUUGACAUCAUAAUCCUUUUUAUUUUUUGCAAGGAGUAGUCUGAUUUGACUCAUCAAAAUCUAUACCCCAAUACUUUGCAAACUUGAUCUUCAUGGCUGCAGCCAAGUUUUGUAGCGCCACACUCGUUUGGCAAGCAGGGUCAUCCAAGGCAUCCUGAAUCAAAAGAACCAAAGGCAAGAACUUGUGUGAAGUUGGUUUCCUAUCAGCUGAUACUACCUUUGUAGCCUCUUCAAAGGUUUUAAGAAACCUAUAGAUUGAUUCAGAUUUGCUCCACUCUUCUUCAUUUGGGGAAAUUUCAAUAUCUUGAUUUGCAUAGCUAUUAAGGACCACAUUGUACUUUAUUCCUCCAAACAUUCUGAAGGUGAAAUUCCAAAGGUUGGGUAUGUCAAGAGGAAUACCACAUUUUGUAGGAAGACCAUUCACCAAUGCAAUUAUAUUAAAAUCUUUUAUUUGUCAUGGUAAAGAGUUCAUAUGCUUUGAGAGCUCCUGAAUCUUCUUUAUCCCCUCAUGAAUAAUCUUCAUGCCAUCCUGAACCAAAAUAUUCACGAUAUGUGCACAACAUCUUACAUACAAAUGUGCACCCUCAAACAUCAACUCAUGCUUCUAGAAACACCAACUCCUCCCAUGCGCUAUUGUUGUUACUAGCAUUAUCCAUUGUUAGAGUAAACAACUUGUUUCGUAUGCCCCAUUUGGUUAGGCCACUCACAAGUGCUUCUUCAAUGGCAAAGCAUGUGUGUGGAUACUUCACCUUCUUAUUAUCUUCUUCUUUAUCUUGAAGUCAGGAGUGAUAAGAUGAGCUGUUAUAAUAUGUAGCCUAAGUUUUUUAUCAAUGUCCACAAAUCUGACGUUAGACACACACGGUAGUCUAGGCUUUGAAGUUCAUUCUAAAGAUCUUGCUUCAUUCUCUGAUACUUUUUUAGACAAUCAUUGUGAAUAGUUUGUCGCCCUAUAUCAGCAUGUAUGACAAACUCAAUCAUACGCUCAGUGAAAAGCUUAGGGACAAACAUAAAGUUUUCUAUAGGUUUCUUCAAUGUUACUAUAAACCUUUAAAAUCAUCAUCAACUCGCACACAGCUUUAAAACCAUCAUCAACUCCUACUAGAUUCUGCUCAAAAUGUUUCCCAACCUUGGACCUUUUAGCAUGUGUUUUUGUUUAAUGAGAAUCAUCAGAUCUUUCAGAUGUGUUUGCAGAAAUGUUAAGGUAACAGGCUAGAAAAUAAAAUCACUAUGUAAGAAAGCAGGUUCAACAACAUAUAAGAAAUCUUAUUUUAGGUUUUUGCAUUUUUAUUUAUUCUAUCUAAUAAAAUCAAGGAACAACAUUUAGGUAUAUAUAAAAAAGAGAGAACAUGAUGAAGGACAGAACAAUUUAGUAGACCAACAGGGAGUAAAAGGGCUUUGCAAAAAAGAACUAGUGCUGUCAUUCCAUUAGCUCUAUUCCUGAACAUAUAAGAACUUCUAUGCGCUAUUAAUUGAAUAGCACAUCUCUAGUGCUAGUAUGUACUACAAAAGUUGGCAGACUACUCUGACAGUAGUGGAAUACAACUACUCUAAAUGCAUUUAGUUAUAGUGAUUAGUUCACAUUCUAGUGAGCUACUCCUAUAGCCUCGAUGCUGCAUAAUUAAGUUGGUAGACUACAUCACUAUCUCUGGAGAAGAAAAAUGCUUAGAGGUUGCCAACCAAAAAGAGUGUGGUUGGAUAUUCAGAUCUAAAAUGUGUAGAUCAGUCUCGCAAGAUUAAGUCUAGCUAACCAAACAUUUCAAUUGGAAAAUACAACCUAUGCUUUUCCCUUUUUAACAUAAAUGGUAACAUUACUACUUCUAGGAAAAAGUCCACUUACUGUACUUAAUUUAACUGCCAAAACUAAGCUGCUUACAUCCAGGGAAAAUUCUUUUUACCAUACAUCUCUGGUGGCUUGAUGAUUUGGCAGGUACAAAGACGGGAAGAGCGCAAGAACACCCAAGAACCCACAUCGCGAGCAUGAGGUACAAACCUUAGGCAAUACGAGAUCGAGAAGAUGACGGGGGAUGAACUCACAAGACUAGCUGCCGAGGGGGGAAGACGAGGUGGAGGCGUCGUGGCGGAUGCGAAGGAGGCGGCCGACGUGGAGGUGCCCGUGUCUAAGGGGAUGGGAUGGAGAGGAGGCAUGCCUUGGUGUUGCCUGCGGGUGAGCGAGGUGGAGGCUUUGCGGCGGCGUGGGCGAGGUGGAUGUGGAGGCGUGGCUACGGCGGUGGGGAAAGGGAGGCGAGGCGAGGCUACGAGGGGUUAGCAUAGUCUCUAUAGGCGGCCC
This 8596-nucleotide long non-coding RNA is filed under the name Setaria italica (foxtail millet). Its description in RNAcentral is "long non-coding RNA (SITA_LNC004586)". Lineage: Eukaryota; Viridiplantae; Streptophyta; Magnoliopsida; Poales; Poaceae. The record is from RNAcentral.